Sinocyclocheilus anshuiensis is the source of this 475-nucleotide long non-coding RNA. RefSeq lists it as uncharacterized. The record is from RefSeq and is a predicted model, not a curated record. NCBI's taxonomy places the organism in Eukaryota, Metazoa, Chordata, Actinopteri, Cypriniformes, Cyprinidae. The transcript is spliced from 2 exons.
CCCGCGUCCAGACUUGUGGAAUCUCCACUUGUGGUCCCUGGACGGGACGCGGAGGUUCUAGGUGGGCUACCUCCAGCGGUAGUAAACACCAUCACUUCACCUAGAGCCCCGUCUACCAGAAACGCUUACAGGCUGAAGUGGAACCUGUUCGUCGAUUGGCGCUCUUCCCGCCGGGAAGACCCCCGUAGAUGCCCGAUCGGAGUCGUGCUUUCUUUCCUGCAGGAUGGGUUGGAGCGAAGGCUGUCUCCCUCCACCCUUAAGUGUAUGUUGCCGCCAUUGCCGUGCAUCACGAUGCAGUAGAUGGUAAGUCUUUGGGGAAGCACGACUUGGUCAUCAGGUUUCUCAGAGGGGCAAGGAGGUUAAAUCCUCCGCGCCCUCACCUGUUACCCUCUUGGGAUCUCCCCUCGGUCCUAACGGCCUUGAAGGAGGAGCCCUUCGAGCCUCUGCAGUCAGUAGAGCUUAAGUUUCUGUCAUU